CAAGAGAAGUAACAACAACAAUGUCCUGCUUCCUGCUACAGUGACAGUGACGACAUGUCAACGACUUCCUCCGCUGCUUCCGCUUCCGGAGGCUUCAGACAGACGAUCUAUUUAAUAAAAUUAUUGCCCAGCAUCGUGUGAAACUUUUGAUAUUUUACAUUUAAUUUGACAAUAAUUAAUUGAAUUGUUUCGCCGGCAGACCGAAAAAGUUGUUCGUCCCCCAUUCCCAUCCCGGUGGCAGUAGACAUUAAACGCAGCUGCCACAGCUAUCUGUA
This is a long non-coding RNA of Drosophila ananassae, 275 nucleotides long. RefSeq lists it as uncharacterized. The record is from RefSeq and is a predicted model, not a curated record. NCBI's taxonomy places the organism in Eukaryota, Metazoa, Arthropoda, Insecta, Diptera, Drosophilidae. The transcript has 2 exons.